UACGUAGGGUGCAGGCGUUAAUCGGAAUUACUGGGCGUAAAGCGUGCGCAGGCGGUUUCUUAAGUCAGAUGUGAAAGCCCCGGGCUUAACCUGGGAACUGCGUUUGAAACUGGGAGACUUGAGUGUAGCAGAGGGGGGUGGAAUUCCACGUGUAGCAGUGAAAUGCGUAGAUAUGUGGAGGAACGCCGAUGGCGAAGGCAACCCCCUGGGUUAACACUGACGCUCAUGCACGAAAGCGUGGGGAGCAAACAGG
RNAcentral lists this ribosomal RNA (253 nucleotides) under uncultured bacterium. Its description in RNAcentral is "partial 16S ribosomal RNA". It matches the Rfam family "Bacterial small subunit ribosomal RNA", at positions 524 to 776 of the family's 1533-position model. The record is from RNAcentral.